GGAUUAUGGUUCAGCGGUAGAGUGCUCGCCUAGCACGUGGGAGGCGCUGGGUUUGAUCCUCAGCACCA
RNAcentral lists this transfer RNA (68 nucleotides) under Marmota monax (woodchuck). RNAcentral's name for it is "tRNA.Ala". Lineage: Eukaryota; Metazoa; Chordata; Mammalia; Rodentia; Sciuridae. The record is from RNAcentral.